Molecule: unclassified non-coding RNA, 223 nt
Filed under: plant metagenome
Description: partial contains small subunit ribosomal RNA, internal transcribed spacer 1, and 5.8S ribosomal RNA
Source: RNAcentral
UUUCCGUAGGUGAACCUGCGGAAGGAUCAUUAAAGAGAUUAUGCCCUUCGGGGUCGAUCUCCCACCCUCUUUUUAUAUUACCUUUGUUGCUUUGGCAGGCCCGUCUUCGCACCACCGGCUUCGGCUGGCCAGUGCUUGCCAGAGGACCCAAAAAUCUUAUUAUUAAUGUCGUCUGAUUACUCUAUAAUAGUUAAAACUUUCAACAACGGAUCUCUUGGUUCUG